GCUUCCGUGGCUCAGUCGGUAGAGCGCAGGUCUCAUACUAUUGUAUGACAGGGAACACCCUGCAAUCCUGAGGUCAAGAGUUCGAUCCUCUUCGGGAGCA
Non-coding RNA from Fomitopsis betulina (razor strop fungus), 100 nucleotides. The record is from the annotation of a GenBank genome assembly. NCBI's taxonomy places the organism in Eukaryota, Fungi, Basidiomycota, Agaricomycetes, Polyporales, Fomitopsidaceae.